UGAGCAGACCUUGGGCUUGUGCUGUGAGU
This 29-nucleotide non-coding RNA is filed under the name Homo sapiens (human). The record is from RNAcentral. Lineage: Eukaryota; Metazoa; Chordata; Mammalia; Primates; Hominidae.